ACAAAAAAAACAAGAGCUCUGGA
RNAcentral lists this non-coding RNA (23 nucleotides) under Cricetulus griseus (Chinese hamster). Lineage: Eukaryota; Metazoa; Chordata; Mammalia; Rodentia; Cricetidae. The record is from RNAcentral.